UACAAGUUCUUGCGUCAAUCGCUCAUUCCGUCAAACAUCGGAGAAGUACGAUUAUUGAUUAUCUGCGACAGUAAUAUAUGAGGACAAAAUAACCAAAUAUGCGGCGAAACGUUUCGCAUGUUUGUCGUUAUGCAAUGAAGGAUGCCGGUUUGUCGAGUAUUCAGAAAAUGGACCCCAGACAGGCGUGUGCGAUCUGUAUUAUUUGAAGGAUUCUAUGUUUGGCAGUUUGAAAAAAAUUCAAAUCGCAACCGGUUACAUAAAGGUGUAUCCAGGAGACAAAGUGUUCGUUGGUAUACCGGAUCACCUAAAUUGGAACCGUUCGCAGCAAAACUGUGAGAGUUUAGGAUGGAGACUGGCCAGCGCUGAAUCAUCGCUCCUUUUGGACAGAACCAAGACUCUGAUGAAGAACAACCACUUCUGGCUAGGGGCAACGCAGGAAAGCGGCGUAUGGCGUUGGAUUUCUGGUGUUGUAAUGUCGACACCUCCGACGGAGAAUUAUAACACGUGCUUAUUGAUAUGGUAUGGUUCGCUAGAUGACGCAUCCUGCGGAAAUGAUCUGAACCCGCAUGUUUGUGAAAUAAUAUUUUAACUCUUGCAUUCGGUUACGCAAUAAAAAAGACAUAAACAAUGUAGUACGUACUUCGUGGCUUUGAGUACUGCAAAUUUAUAAUUUAAAAAAGUAUCGUUUAAACAAUUGAUUACGUUCCAAUGAUCAAC
This is a long non-coding RNA of Dreissena polymorpha, 717 nucleotides long. RefSeq lists it as uncharacterized. The transcript has 3 exons. The record is from RefSeq and is a predicted model, not a curated record. NCBI's taxonomy places the organism in Eukaryota, Metazoa, Mollusca, Bivalvia, Myida, Dreissenidae.